GGAAGUAUGCCUGAAAGUUAAGGAACUCCUUGAUAGGGAGUACUAUAGGUGUUCAAACCACCUUACUUCCC
RNAcentral lists this transfer RNA (71 nucleotides) under Aplastodiscus ehrhardti (Ehrhardt's snouted treefrog). RNAcentral's name for it is "tRNA-Ile". The record is from RNAcentral. Lineage: Eukaryota; Metazoa; Chordata; Amphibia; Anura; Hylidae.